RNAcentral lists this ribosomal RNA (465 nucleotides) under uncultured bacterium. Its description in RNAcentral is "partial 16S ribosomal RNA". It matches the Rfam family "Bacterial small subunit ribosomal RNA", at positions 338 to 795 of the family's 1533-position model. The record is from RNAcentral.
CCUACGGGUGGCAGCAGUAGGGAAUCUUCCACAAUGGGCGCAAGCCUGAUGGAGCAACACCGCGUGAGUGAAGAAGGGUUUCGGCUCGUAAAGCUCUGUUGUUGGAGAAGAACGUGCGUGAGAGUAACUGUUCACGCAGUGACGGUAUCCAACCAGAAAGUCACGGCUAACUACGUGCCAGCAGCCGCGGUAAUACGUAGGUGGCAAGCGUUAUCCGGAUUUGUUGGGCGUAAAGCGAGCGCAGGCGGUUGCUUAGGUCUGAUGUGAAAGCCUUCGGCUUAACCGAAGAAGUGCAUCGGAAACCGGGCAACUUGAGUGCAGGAGAGGACAGUGGAACUCCAUGUGUAGCGGUGGAAUGCGUAGAUAUAUGGAAGAACACCAGUGGCGAAGGCGGCUGUCUGGUCUGCAACUGACGCUGAGGCUCGAAAGCAUGGGUAGCGAACAGGAUUAGAUACCCGGGUAGUC